RNAcentral lists this non-coding RNA (25 nucleotides) under Mus musculus (house mouse). The record is from RNAcentral. Lineage: Eukaryota; Metazoa; Chordata; Mammalia; Rodentia; Muridae.
UGCACUUGAGACACGCCUUGGCCAU